Molecule: ribosomal RNA, 495 nt
Filed under: uncultured bacterium
Lineage: Bacteria
Description: partial 16S ribosomal RNA
Rfam family: Bacterial small subunit ribosomal RNA
Source: RNAcentral
GACGAACGCUGGCGGCGUGCCUAAUACAUGCAAGUAGAACGCUGAAGGAGGAGCUUGCUCUUCUGGAUGAGUUGCGAACGGGUGAGUAACGCGUAGGUAACCUGCCUGGUAGCGGGGGAUGACUAUUGGAAACGAUAGCUAAUACCGCAUAAGAGUAGAUGUUGCAUGACAUUUGCUUAAAAGGUGCAAUUGCAUCACUACCAGAUGGACCUGCGUUGUAUUAGCUAGUUGGUGGGGUAACGGCUCACCAAGGCGACGAUACAUAGCCGACCUGAGAGGGUGAUCGGCCACACUGGGACUGAGACACGGCCCAGACUCCUACGGGAGGCAGCAGUAGGGAAUCUUCGGCAAUGGACGGAAGUCUGACCGAGCAACGCCGCGUGAGUGAAGAAGGUUUUCGGAUCGUAAAGCUCUGUUGUAAGAGAAGAACGAGUGUGAGAGUGGAAAGUUCACACUGUGACGGUAUCUUACCAGAAAGGGACGGCUAACUACGUG